This 253-nucleotide ribosomal RNA is filed under the name uncultured bacterium. RNAcentral's name for it is "partial 16S ribosomal RNA". It matches the Rfam family "Bacterial small subunit ribosomal RNA", at positions 524 to 776 of the family's 1533-position model. The record is from RNAcentral.
UACGUAGGGUGCAAGCGUUGUCCGGAAUUAUUGGGCGUAAAGAGCUCGUAGGCGGUUUGUCGCGUCUGCUGUGAAAACCUAAGGCUCAACCUUGGGCUUGCAGUGGGUACGGGCAGACUAGAGUGCGGUAGGGGUGACUGGAAUUCCUGGUGCAGCGGUGGAAUGCGCAGAUAUCAGGAGGAACACCGAUGGCGAAGGCAGGUCACUGGGCCGCAACUGACGCUGAGGAGCGAAAGCAUGGGGAGCGAACAGG